Ahaetulla prasina is the source of this 270-nucleotide long non-coding RNA. RefSeq lists it as uncharacterized. The record is from RefSeq and is a predicted model, not a curated record. The transcript has 3 exons. Lineage: Eukaryota; Metazoa; Chordata; Lepidosauria; Squamata; Colubridae.
GCACAUGAACCCGAAAAGCUGCUCCCUCCAGUUUGCCUGGCCCAGAGACUUCACGGAGUGGGGCAGCAAAGGAGAAAGAGACUUUCAGCAGAAGGCUGUUUCAAUGACAAUGCACUUAUGGUGAAUGGUGAAGGAAGUGAAGAAAUUCUGGUCAGUUGCAGUUCAACUUAUGGAGAGAAGAACAAUGAGCUUUGUCACUGGAAGCUUCCAAGAAGAAACUGGACUACCAUCUGUCAAAAGUGGUGUAGGGUCUGCUUGGGUGGGGGGUUG